UACGUAGGGGGCAAGCGUUGUCCGGAAUCAUUGGGCGUAAAGCGCGUGUAGGCGGCUUGGUAAGUCUGCUCUGAAAGCCCGGGGCUCAACCCCGGGAGGCGGGUGGAUACUGUCAAGCUCGAGUCCGGAAGAGGAGUGUGGAAUUCCUGGUGUAGCGGUGGAAUGCGCAGAUAUCAGGAGGAACACCGGUGGCGAAGGCGGUUCUCUGGGCAUUACCUGACGCUGAGGAGCGAAAGCAUGGGGAGCGAACAGG
RNAcentral lists this ribosomal RNA (253 nucleotides) under uncultured bacterium. RNAcentral describes it as "partial 16S ribosomal RNA". It matches the Rfam family "Bacterial small subunit ribosomal RNA", at positions 524 to 776 of the family's 1533-position model. The record is from RNAcentral.